This 2282-nucleotide long non-coding RNA is filed under the name Volvox carteri. RNAcentral describes it as "long non-coding RNA (VCAR_LNC004067)". The record is from RNAcentral. Lineage: Eukaryota; Viridiplantae; Chlorophyta; Chlorophyceae; Chlamydomonadales; Volvocaceae.
GCCAGGAAGUGUAUAUCUGUGUGACCAUACAUAUCUGUGUGACCAUACACAUCUGUGUGACCAUGCAUAUCUGUGUGACCAUACAUACCUACAUACUAUCAACUUGCGAGCUGACCAGGAACUAAGUUGAUGCGCCGUUGAUCCGCUAGAUUUGGUUGGAUGCUGGUGGUGAGUUGCCGAACCCAACGAAUACAUUCUGAAGUCGGAUGGGGUGACGGAUUAGGGUGCCCCUCUAGCAGGGGAGAGCAGGGACUGCCCCGGGAAAGGGGGCCGCUGGCGAAGUUAACCACCCUGUAACAACAUACAUACCUAGGCAGGCGGCUGGCAGAGGUUAAGGCCUGACUUCUGCUCCCAGUCGACCCAGUCGACCCGGGUUCAAAUCCGCCUGCCGGCUCCUCGGGUGAUUGAGGAGUGAUGAAAUGGGAGGUGGCCCCCCAUCAUAUGGACGGUGUAGGACGUGAUAAUAUCAACUUGCGAGCUGACCAGGAACUAAGUUGAUGCGCCGUUGAUCCGCUAGAUUUGGUUGGAUGCUGGUGGUGAGUUGCCGAACCCAACGAAUACAUUCUGAAGUCGGAUGGGGUGACGGAUUAGGGUGCCCCUCUAGCAGGGGAGAGCAGGGACUGCCCCGGGAAAGGGGGCCGCUGGCGAAGUUAACCACCCUGUAACAACAUACCUGCUUGCCGAUAGCGCGACGUGACGCGCAAUCUGUGGUGGUGUAAGGGGACUUCAACAAGUAUGAAUGUAAAUGCCUGGCUGAUCAUAAUCACUCGCCUGGCUGAUUCCUUGUGGCUUGUGGCUUUUGGGUGGUGGGUGCUAUCCUUACGCAGCCUUGGCUUGAACGAAAGCACAUGUACGAGAGGGAUGCAGCACAAUGAUUCUGAUGGCAACGUUUCGCUGGCUGCUGGUGCAGCAGCCGCUAGCAUGGCCACGACAACAAUGAACUGGGGGCUGGUCCAGGCAUGUGCAGCGGCGGCAGCACUGGUGGCAAUAAAAUUCACCCCUGUUAGGCCCGGAUGUCGGCACCCACUUGCAUCUCACUGGCCACUAGUCGGUCGCUUCACGUUGCACCUGGCAGCAGUCUGGAUANNNNNNNNNNNNNNNNNNNNNNNNNNNNNNNNNNNNNNNNNNNNNNNNNNUUAUUCGUGCAUGUAUUUGGUUAUGUACGUGUCCUGUUAGGCUCUGGUUUAGGUGGAGGCAACCGUUCCCCUGUCGGCUACAUGUGCUACAUAUUUGUAGUGUUCGUCGCGCUGUGUCUCUCAGAAAAUGCAGAUCCUGCAUGCACGAGUGCCAUCCAUGGUCACAGCCAACAACCAAAACCUCACCGAUCUACUCAACCGAUGCUAGUCGUUGAAUAGCUGCUUUUUGCGGUGAUAGCUAGUGUUUCUAGGGUUUUUAGGGUCCUUGAAACCCUAAACGCCUAGAAAAGGCUACACACGGCUGACUGCAGCAUUUCGUGUAUUACGAGUACGUGUCCAACGGCAGGGACCAGCAACAGGCACAAGCAAGGGAUGAAUAAUUCCAUGCUGCCGCCUUCGUGUUGCUGCUGUGCUGUCCCGGCAUGCAUGUUCUGGCUAGCUACGACCAAAUACCCCAUGUACACAUGCACCAACGUGUACACGUACACACACAUACAUACACGCACACGUACACACCAGGAUGGAUCAUGUUAUGAAAAAGCCAGACCGGAUAUGUCCCGCGCAAGAGCGAUGUGCUGCUCAUGUCGAGUUUUGAUCUCGAGACCUCCCGCUUACUAAACGGGUGCUCUUCCACUGAGCUACACGAGCAGUUGUGGGUGGAGGGUGUCGAACCCUCGACCUUAGGAUAGUCCAAGUCACAGCACGAUAACAGCUAUGAGACCUACGCGCUAACCACUGCGCCACACCCACACAGACAUGCAGCUUCGCGCGUGGCAAGAAUUUGCCGUACACCGUACACCGUACACCGUACACGUACAAAUCGUACAGGACGUGCGUACACACGCACCCCCGACGAUUGGGCCAAAUACGUAUACACCACAUCUACAGCCAACGCAUGCCCGCCUCAUUAGCUCUUUAUUUUUCCCGGGCAUGUGGCCAGGAAGUGUAUAUCUGUGUGACCAUACAUAUCUGUGUGACCAUACACAUCUGUGUGACCAUGCAUAUCUGUGUGACCAUACAUACCUGCUUGCCGAUAGCGCGACGUGACGCGCAAUCUGUGGUGGUGUAAGGGGACUUCAACAAGUAUGAAUGUAAAUGCCUGGCUGAUUAUAAUCACUCGCCUGGCUGAUUCCUUGUGGCUUGUNN